Long non-coding RNA from Carya illinoinensis, 2526 nucleotides. RefSeq lists it as uncharacterized. The transcript is spliced from 2 exons. The record is from RefSeq and is a predicted model, not a curated record. NCBI's taxonomy places the organism in Eukaryota, Viridiplantae, Streptophyta, Magnoliopsida, Fagales, Juglandaceae.
AAUUUAAGUAUUAAUAUUAUUUUAUAUUUUAUAUUUAAAUUAAUAUUAUUUUUAAUAAAAUAUAUUUUUUUAAUCAAUUAUAUUAAAUUAAUAAUUAGAUUUUUUCUGGACGAAAACAAAGCAAUCCGGCUUGGAAAUCAAGGCGGUGUGUAACGCACGUUGCUUGCACAACGCCAUCCAUCUUAACUUGUACUAGCUUCAUCCAGAACGUUCGAUGGGUAAGUGCAAUUUUCAUUGCCCUGUAUAAGUUCGGGUCCGUGAUUUCUGUCUUGAACAGCCCUCCCCGCCUCCCCCCUCUCUCGAUCUCUCUCAAUUCUCCGUGGCUUCGCUCUUCGAUCAUGUUUCGCCGUCUUAGAUCUCUAUCUAGAGAGAUCCACGAUUUAUAGCUGUGGGAUCCGUACUUUUCUCGAUCUGGAGUCUCGUUACUUCUCUGUCCUAUGGAGUCUCAGUGCAUCCGCCCGAGAUUUGUGUUCUCUGCCAAGGACCGAGGCUAAUGAUUAUAAUUUAUAACAGAUCUGGAGUCUGUGCUUCUCUGUCCUUAUAUGGAGUCUUACUGCAUCCAGCCGAGAUAGGUGUUCUCUACGAAGGAUUGAGGCUUAUAAUAUUCAUUGUAGUGAUCUGAACUCUGUAUUCGAUUAGUGAACGAGCACUUUGUGUUGUAAUCGCCAUAAAUCACGCGGAAGUUGUUAGAAGAUCUGUGUAAGUAAUCAGGAAAGGCCUAAUUUCAGGGGGUCGGAGUCCGUGAUUGAUUUUAUUGUUCGACCUUUGCCAUGACGGGUGCGCUUGCAUGGCAGGUCUAACAAAUCUAUUAAUAAAAUAUUUGUUAUUUUGCUUAGAGGAGAGACCGCAUGGGCCAUUUUUUUUCUUUGUGCCCGGGGUCUCUCCAAUGGUGUUCUGUGUUUUGCUGCUUUCCUUUGACUUCUUGCCGUCUUUCUAUCUAUCUUGAUCUUGCGCCCCUGCAUCUGAUACAGCGAAAAUUCAAGCCGAUAGAUCUACGCUGGGCAUGUUUAACAUCUGAGGAUUGAAGGUACACAACUUUUCGUUUUUCUAUUAAUCUCUAUCUUGCGCCCAUGCAUCUGAUACAGCGACAGUUCGAGCCGGUAGAGAUUUGCGUUGGGCUUGUUUAACUUCUGAGGAUUGAAGGUACACACAAAUCAUCACCUCCACUUGAAUUGGAUUUCAUUAGUUUUUUAACUAAUUUUGUGGAACAAAUACUGCAAGUUUGCAUACGAUCAUAAACAAAUUCGAGGAAAUUGAUCGGUUCAAUCUAGCGUUGAGCUCGAGCUGCCUCCAUUAAUUUAUAACAAUCACGUCUAAAGUCUGCACAUACAUACACAUUGGAUUAUGCAUGUUGCACGAUUAAGACUAUACCUUUUUUUUUUUUUCAAAAUACUUCUUAUUCUCAAAGCUUGAUACGAGAGGGGCAUUGUAAUACGUCCAUGGUGUUGGUGAAAAGCUUGAAGCCUAGUUUUGUUUUUGGUUGAUCCUUAGACUUUGCCAUGCUCUAACUGAAGGAGGGCUGGUUUUGAAGUCGAUGGUCUACAUGUUGCAAUUGAAAUGUUGCGUUCUAUGUUCUACAUGUUGCAGGCAAUGCUUCCUUCCAAAUUUAUUUGUAUGUAGUGGUUAAUUUAAAAAAUGCUUCAAUAUGCGUAUUGGAUUUGCCUAAAAGAAUUCAUUGUUAUGAAGGUUAUUCGUAACCCAUUUUCUUUGCCUCUUUGGUUGAUCCUGCAAAAACGUAUCAGUAUCUUUUUUGUGCAAGUUUCAUGGCGUUUGGUUUCUUGUAAGGAUUGUGACUUUUUGUUUAACCUGUGCUGGUUUUGGUGAGGUGUUUUGGUGGUGUAAGUUGUGUGGCACUAGGAAGAGAUUUUGUUUUCUCUAUACUUGAAGUCGUGGCUUUCAUAAUCGAGCAAAUGAUGCAACGUGGGAUAAAAUUGCGAUUCUCGUGGCUGAUCAAGGAAUUGGCAGCUCAACCCGACCAAUGAUUCAUGUAAAAGACAUUUGUGACUACUAGUUAUAUUUUGAGGUACAAUGUUCCGUCUCUUGGGCCAGCCGAUCUGCCCUAGCCUUUUGUUUUCAAUUUCAAUUCACGACUUAUAAUCAGGCUAAUCAAGGAAUGUGGGUCAAAAUUAUUAUUCUUCUUUGAUCAAGAGCUUAACAGCCUUCUCAUCACAAUGGUUUGUGGAGAAGACAUUUGUGGUUACAAGCUGUUUUUCGGAGUAAGAUUUCGUAUCAGGUGGCAGGUCCACUUGCGGCUGUUCCUUUCAGGUGAAAAGUAUUAUAAAUUAUUGUUUUGUUUUAAAUGAUCGGGACGAGUAUCCAUUAAUUUAGUACAGUGACUUCUAGCUUGGUUUUGGUAUGUUUGACAUUUCGAUAUCUUUUAUGCCAUUACCCUGGCUCUCUAUUUUUCUGUUUUGGGUAUUCUUGGUUUUGUGUUUUAGAGGUGUCAUUUUUAUGCCGUGCUUUUUUCCCACAUUGUUGAUUUGCUUACCAAACUCGUUAUGGUUAACCUUGUUAAUUGUUAUUCAA